UGGGGAAUUUUGGACAAUGGGCGAAAGCCUGAUCCAGCAAUGCCGCGUGUGUGAAGAAGGCCUUCGGGUUGUAAAGCACUUUUGUCCGGAAAGAAAUGGCUCUGGUUAAUACCUGGGGUCGAUGACGGUACCGGAAGAAUAAGGACCGGCUAACUACGUGCCAGCAGCCGCGGUAAUACGUAGGGUCCAAGCGUUAAUCGGAAUUACUGGGCGUAAAGCGUGCGCAGGCGGUUGUGCAAGACCGAUGUGAAAUCCCCGAGCUUAACUUGGGAAUUGCAUUGGUGACUGCACGGCUAGAGUGUGUCAGAGGGGGGUAGAAUUCCACGUGUAGCAGUGAAAUGCGUAGAGGUGUGGAGGAAUACCGAUGGCGAAGGCAGCCCCCUGGGAUAACACUGACGCUCAUGCACGAAAGCGUGGGGAGCAAACAGG
Molecule: ribosomal RNA, 429 nt
Filed under: Bacillota bacterium
Lineage: Bacteria; Bacillati; Bacillota
Description: Firmicutes bacterium partial 16S ribosomal RNA
Rfam family: Bacterial small subunit ribosomal RNA
Source: RNAcentral